Molecule: unclassified non-coding RNA, 204 nt
Filed under: Hevea brasiliensis (rubber tree)
Lineage: Eukaryota; Viridiplantae; Streptophyta; Magnoliopsida; Malpighiales; Euphorbiaceae
Source: RNAcentral
GAAUAGAGGAUGAGAUUCUGAAAACAAAUCCGAUUUUAGAAGCCUUUGGCAAUGCUAAAACUUUAAGAAAUGACAACUCAAGUCGAUUUGGGAAGCUUAUUGAGAUUCACUUUAGUGAGACUGGAAAAAUAUCUGGGGCUAAUAUUCAAACAUUUCUACUUGAAAAGUCAAGAGUGGUUCAAUGUAGCGAGGGAGAAAGGUCAU